GCCAUAGAAGCAACAGCAGCAUAUGCAAGAUAAUUAACUCCCAUUAGUGGAACUCAAACCCAGGGAUCACUGCGCCCUGGGUUUUCUCACUGCUACGCGGCUCAGAGUCCUGUUUCUAGUCCUCCUGGGUCUGGGCUGAGGAAAGAGAUGAUGAUGAUGAUGCUCAGCCUCCGGAUCCCAAACUUCUGCUCUCCAAGGCUCAGCUUGUCCUGAAUUAAAGUUGGUGGCCCACUUCACCCUUAUCCCUGAACGGGUUAGGUUUUAAAGGGGAAGCUGAACAAAUGACUCCCCUCUGGACUGGCCCCAGCAUCUAUCAAGGUUGGCAACUGGACAAUCCUCCUGGACAAGAAGUCAUACAAAAGGGCUUCUUCUAGUGGAGCUUUGCUUGAACAACAAGUUCUUCCUAAACUCUCGGAUAAAGAAUUCCAAAGCUCUGGUGCCACAAUGAAGAAGGGUCAACUCCCUUGACACAUCGACUGGGCCUUGACCAGGGUAGGGGGGCGGAAACCAGAAA
Molecule: long non-coding RNA, 514 nt
Organism: Rhineura floridana
Lineage: Eukaryota; Metazoa; Chordata; Lepidosauria; Squamata; Rhineuridae
Exons: 3
Source: RefSeq, a predicted model, not a curated record